This 337-nucleotide unclassified non-coding RNA is filed under the name soil metagenome. RNAcentral describes it as "partial contains 5.8S ribosomal RNA, internal transcribed spacer 2, and large subunit ribosomal RNA". The stretch from base 1 to 120 matches the Rfam family "5.8S ribosomal RNA", at positions 35 to 154 of the family's 154-position model. The record is from RNAcentral.
GAUGAAGAACGUAGCGAAAUGCGAUAAGUAAUGUGAAUUGCAGAAUUCAGUGAAUCAUCGAAUCUUUGAACGCACAUUGCGCCCCUUGGUAUUCCGGGGGGCAUGCUUGUUCGAGCGUCAUUUCAACCCUCAAGCUCUGCUUGGUAUUGGGCUCCGUCCUCCUCGGACGCGCCUCAAAGACCUCGGCGGUGGCGUCUUGCCUCAAGCGUAGUAGAAACACCUCGCUUUGGAGUGCAUGGCGUCGCCCGCCGGACGAAACCUUUUGUAUUUUCUCAAAGGUUGACCUCGGAUCAGGUAGGGAUACCCGCUGAACUUAAGCAUAUCAAUAAGCGGAGGA